GCCCCCGAUGGGGAGGAAGGAGAGAGGGCCACCCCCCGCCUCACUCUCGAUCUGGAGUGGUUGACCUGGGCAUAGGUCUGCUCCUGGGGGGCUCCAUGCUGCCCGUUCUGCUGGAGGGAGACGGUGAGGCAGAAACAGCACCUCCCGGGUCCCGCUCCCCUCCUGCAGUCAGUGUUCCCCUCCGUGGUCCGCUGGGGGCCCUUUCCUGAUGGAAUCGCCAGAGCUCCCUCACACCUCGGGGCCUCUGGACGCUUUCCGCGGUCCUGAUUCUGUCUCAGCACCUGUCCUUGCUCAUGUGGCUCCAGCCACACCGCCCACCUUCCUGCCACAGCCCGUCUCGGCCUCAGCCAGGAGCUUUGGACAUGCGCCCCCCCCCCCCCACCGCCAGCACCCGGUCCCCUUCUCUUGCUUUAUCUCCCUGCCUCCGAGGACCCUGCCUGCCCCUUUGCAUAGCGCCUCUCUCCCCGCUGCAGGGGAGCUCAGGGAGUGUCAGCCGUACUCCUUCUGCAGCUGCAGCACCUACAGGGAGCCGGGCAAGGUGCUCCCCUGGCCCCGUCUGUUGGGAGCAGGAAGGACGGGAGCCUGGGCACUUGCGGGCCAUUCCCUUAUCCACGCAUCCUCCUGAGCCACGGGGCUGCAUCCAGCACCAGAGGGUCAGACAGAGGACGAGGAGUCGGGAGAGGGGACCCCGAAGGUGGGGCCACGAGGAGACAGGAGGGGGAGCCACAGCGGGACGACCCGGGGGCCCAGGGGAGAGUCCAUUGUGGGUGCUGCUGGAGCUGGGGUGUGGGCACUGAGAUGGCUGCCCUGGGUGAAGUUGGGCCACGAGAAGGUCUUUGGUGGCCUGGCCAGGAGCAGGGGUCUCACCAGAUGGUCCAGCUCUGUCCCCUCCUCAGACUGUGUGUCCUUCACGGCAGCAUCUGCUGGGGCAGAACCGGGGAGACGGGGGCCUUCCUGGGCAGGACUCCCUGAGAUUGCUCAGGGCUGGGCCCCCUGCACCCAGAAGGCGGGCGUUGGGUGCUGCAUGAGUCUCUCUCUCGCCGCAUCCGGCCUCCCGUUCCCCCCGCCUCUGCAGAGCUCUCCACACCCACCCGCAGGGCUGCCCUCCUCUUCUGCUCACAGAGGUUCUGGUCCUGGGCGUCGGCGGCUGGGCUGGAGCUGGGAGGAGACGGGGGUGUUAGGGGUGGACGGGGCUGCGGGCAGCUGGGAGCCUGGGGUCUUGGGGCAGGAGUCACCUGUUCUGCAGGCCUCUGUCCUCGGGCUCCCGGUCUGCAGCCCCUGCAGGAAGUCGGAGGUCAGCGUUGCCCUGGGUGGUGUCAGCGGGCACACCUCAGCCUGGACCUGUUAUGCCCCCUGCUUCACGGGGCUCCAGGGCAAGAAGGAAACCCUGACUCCUUCCCGCACGUGGGUUUCAGUGUUUCAGGAGAUGAGACCCGAGAAACCCCCUGCAUGUCUGCCUGUGACCUGACGUUAAGAGUUUUCGUUCCAGAUUUUCAGACCUGAGACUCUGGACCAUCUCCUUCUAAGCUGACCUCACCCACCUCUUUCUUUGGUUCCCGUUGGCUCGUGCCCUCAACCCGGCGCCUCUGGGGGCCUGGGUCCCCCUGUUCCCUGCUCACCUGACUUCCUGCGUCUGUCCUGACCCCGGUGUCGGUGUCGGUGUCGGAGGAGGAGGAGGAGCAGCAGCAGGACGAAGGCCACCAAGACCCCGAUCAGAAGGCUCAGGAGGAGCUCGCGAGCGAGGCCCGUCAUGCAAGAGGAAAGCGAAUCUCAGAGCGGUUCCAGAAGGCUGCGCAGAGAGGUGAGAAGUGGAAGUUCCAGAUCCUGGAGAAGAUGCGGGGGUCCCCCUUGGUGUCUGCUGUGGGUGUCAGAAGGAAAGAAGCUCCUGCUCAGGACACAAGUACCCGGAUUUCGCACUGUGUGGCCAUGAGUUCAGGAUCUGACUGCAGUGGCUCGGGUGUCUGUGGAGGCCGGCGUUGGAUCCCCCCAGCCCAGUGCAGAAACUUACAGGAUCUGGUGUUGCGGCAGCUGCCUGGUACCACCGAGAGAAUGACGAGCUAAUAUUGGGCUGCGACGCCACCGUACCGGAAAGUGAUGCCCAAAGAUACUAGAGAAGCACAUCAAGGAAUGAAUGGUGAGAGACUGUACUGGGAGCCCACGUGUUUGUAAGGGUCAACAGGGCCCGGGUCAUCAGGGGAGAAAUCCCUGAACACAGAGAGAUCCUGGCACCUCGGACCCUGUUGAGCUGGGUCUCCCCCACUCCUCAGGCUGCAUGUGUUGUGGCCAGACCCAGGCCUGUGGCUGUUCCCAGGGCGGGGGUGGAAGCCAGACCCCAGCAGUGACAAGGCCGGGUCCUUCCCGGGCUGCGCCGCCAGGGGGCGCCCCAGGCUGCGUCUUCACCAGAGAGAAGGAGGGCUUGGGGCAGGGAUCCCGUCACCAGCCCUGUCCUUGCCUCUCCUUUCCCCCGCGUGACACACGUUCUUUGAAGGAAGCAAACUUUUUCCGCUGACCUGAUGGACUGAGAGCGAAAGAAGGCGAGUUCCCGGUGAGGGUUUCCCGCUCGUGAGAGGAGCACGAGGUGAUGUCGUGGAGAGAGUGAGAUGCGACAGGGAGGGAGACACGGCCCCGAAGCUGUGGGACGUGCCGCAGACACACUCGCGCCCACACAGACACGCCUGCACACGUGCCCGAGGCGUGCACACGCGCGCGCGCACACACACACACACACACACACACUCGUGUGUACGAGUGCUCAGCAUCCAGGGACGCGAUGCCUGGAACCGAGUCCCCUCUGAAGCGGGAGGGGAAGGCGUGCUUGUUCCGAAAGAGCAGCGUGGGAGCGACCGGCGCCAAUCAGAGCGGGGACCUUCCCACGUACUUGGUCAAAUUAAACGAAACCAGAGUCUUCAGCUUUACUGAGAUGCAAUUGGUGGAAAUUGUACAUGCGGAAGAGGUACCAGUGGAUUCUUUAUUGUUUCUGGUUUAGGGCCGCACCCGAGUCAUUUGGAGGUUCCCAGGCUAGGGGUGGA
Molecule: long non-coding RNA, 3029 nt
Organism: Phacochoerus africanus (Common warthog)
Lineage: Eukaryota; Metazoa; Chordata; Mammalia; Artiodactyla; Suidae
Exons: 3
Source: RefSeq, a predicted model, not a curated record